This is a long non-coding RNA of Rhagoletis pomonella (apple maggot), 1329 nucleotides long. RefSeq lists it as uncharacterized. The record is from RefSeq and is a predicted model, not a curated record. NCBI's taxonomy places the organism in Eukaryota, Metazoa, Arthropoda, Insecta, Diptera, Tephritidae. The transcript has 3 exons.
GAUUGAGCACUGAUAUAGUUGCAGCAAUAUUAUAUAAAAAUCAAGGCAGUAAAAAUAGCGGCGAUACUUUGUUUGAGCCGCAAGAACAAAUGUACCAACUGAAUUGGAGAAUGUAAUUGAUUUUUAUACUAUACCUGUAAAUAGUAGUACAUAAUACUCAUAUCUCUAAUAAAAAAAGUUUGAGUAAUUUGUUCGGAUUUUGAGGAUUUUUCAUUUGUUUUUGAGGAAUUUGGCAAUUUUUUUGUGGCAACACUGUGUAAAAUGCAUGCAUACACAGAAAGUUAUCUACAAAUGUGUGCGUUAAAGAAAAAUUUAAAUAAGUAAAAUCUAUGUAUGCACAUAGAAAAUUGUGUGAAAAAUACCGAAAAAAAACUUAGAGAAAAUAAAAGGAAGAAAACGGACUAAAGAUAUCGAAAAAAUCGCGCUGAUUUCCAAAGCGCCGAAAAAAAACUAAAUCAAAAGUUAAAAAUGUUCGAAAAUCACAAGUCUAGUGAAAAAAGUAGAUGAAUAUUAAACCUGAAAAAAAUAAUUACAACGUAAAACAGUAACAGAUAAAAAUAAAUUUAAUAUUUGACUAAGAAAACGAAAGCGAGGUGAACAUAAAUACAUACAUUUGUACAUGUCGUUAAAUGAAGCAUCAAAAAAUUACGAUUUUAUACAAAAUGUGAGAAAGAGCGCUUUCUUUGAUAACACGAAAACAGUUUUAAAAUAAAAAUAAAAUACAUACGUAAGUAAUGCUAGAAUGUGGACAAUGGAAAAUUGGACCAAAAAACGCCAGGAUGUGGUCAAAAUAAAAUGAUAAAAAAUUAACUGUUAAAUUGCUUUUAUAAAAAAAUCUCUACAUAUGCUUAUUCACGUCGAAAAAAAGAAACUGUAACCGGAAAAGAAAGAAUCUAGUCUUUGGAUAUAGAAGUCGAAAGCAAAUAGAAGAGCUUAUGCCUGCCAUUGAAAUUAAGAAGAGAACACGCUUACUUUGCAUUGCUGUAAACGCCUCAAUGCCAGAUUUGCUCAAACUACAAUACAAAAACAAAACCGAGUACAAAGUACUACAAUAAAUAACAAAAGAGAGGAAAACCACCACAUACCGAUGAACACCCGAAUAAUUAUUUACAGUAUAUUUAUUUGUUGACAUUAAUACAUACUACCACCAGAUCUUUUAUAAUAUUGAUGUAAACGCCAAUAAAAAUACACAGAUCCAGCUAAAAUUAAUACUAAAUGCAAAUGGAAUAAAUCAAUAUCAAAAUAAAGACACACAAACUGAAUCCACAAAAAAUUAUUUCGUGCAUUGAUACUCUCAUGAUGGCAUACCUAAUAUACAUACAUACACAC